RNAcentral lists this ribosomal RNA (377 nucleotides) under uncultured bacterium. RNAcentral describes it as "bacterial SSU rRNA". It matches the Rfam family "Bacterial small subunit ribosomal RNA", at positions 523 to 898 of the family's 1533-position model. The record is from RNAcentral.
AUACAGAGGGUGCGAGCGUUGUCCGGAAUCACUGGGCGUAAAGGGCGCGUAGGUGGCUUGGUAAGCGUGUGGUGAAAGUCCGGGGCUCAACCCCGGAUCUGCCGUGCGAACUGCUGAGCUUGAGCACUGUAGAGGCAGGUGGAAUUUCGGGUGUAGCGGUGGAAUGCGUAGAUAUCCGAAAGAACACCAGUGGCGAAGGCGGCCUGCUGGGCAGUAGCUGACACUGAGGCGCGACAGCGUGGGGAGCAAACAGGAUUAGAUACCCUGGUAGUCCACGCCGUAAACGAUGGGUACUAGGUGUCUGGGGGAGCGACCCCCUGGGUGCCGGCGCUAACGCAUGAAGUACCCCGCCUGGGGAGUACGGCCGCAAGGCUGAA